UCGAACGAGUUCUCGUUGAUGAUCGGUGCUUGCACCGAGAUUCAACAUGGAACGAGUGGCGGACGGGUGAGUAACACGUGGGUAACCUGCCCUUAAGUGGGGGAUAACAUUUGGAAACAGAUGCUAAUACCGCAUAGAUCCAAGAACCGCAUGGUUCUUGGCUGAAAGAUGGCGUAAGCUAUCGCUUUUGGAUGGACCCGCGGCGUAUUAGCUAGUUGGUGAGGUAAUGGCUCACCAAGGCGAUGAUACGUAGCCGAACUGAGAGGUUGAUCGGCCACAUUGGGACUGAGACACGGCCCAAACUCCUACGGGAGGCAGCAGUAGGGAAUCUUCCACAAUGGACGCAAGUCUGAUGGAGCAACGCCGCGUGAGUGAAGAAGGCUUUCGGGUCGUAAAACUCUGUUGUUGGAGAAGAAUGGUCGGCAGAGUAACUGUUGUCGGCGUGACGGUAUCCAACCAGAAAGCCACGGCUAACUACGUGCCAGCAGCCGCGGUAAUACGUAGGUGGCAAGCGUUAUCCGGAUUUAUUGGGCGUAAAGCGAGCGCAGGCGGUUUUUUAAGUCUGAUGUGAAAGCCCUCGGCUUAACCGAGGAAGCGCAUCGGAAACUGGGAAACUUGAGUGCAGAAGAGGACAGUGGAACUCCAUGUGUAGCGGUGAAAUGCGUAGAUAUAUGGAAGAACACCAGUGGCGAAGGCGGCUGUCUGGUCUGUAACUGACGCUGAGGCUCGAAAGCAUGGGUAGCGAACAGGAUUAGAUACCCUGGUAGUCCAUGCCGUAAACGAUGAAUGCU
RNAcentral lists this ribosomal RNA (791 nucleotides) under uncultured bacterium. RNAcentral's name for it is "bacterial SSU rRNA". It matches the Rfam family "Bacterial small subunit ribosomal RNA", at positions 62 to 817 of the family's 1533-position model. The record is from RNAcentral.